Molecule: long non-coding RNA, 460 nt
Organism: Neltuma alba
Lineage: Eukaryota; Viridiplantae; Streptophyta; Magnoliopsida; Fabales; Fabaceae
Exons: 3
Source: RefSeq, a predicted model, not a curated record
AUAGAUACUAGAAACAAAAAGCAACCUGCUCUUUGGUGGGAAAGUUAUGGAGGAGAAGGUAAAGAGUUACAAAAGAUAGCUAUGAGAAUUUUGAGUCUCACAUGUAGUGCUACUGGAUGUGAAAGAAAUUGGAGCAUGUUUGAUCAAAUCCAUACUAAGCGAAGGAAUCGCUUAGAACAACAAAGGUUGAAUGCACUUGUAUUUGUCAAGUAUAACCUUCAACUUGAGAUGAGACAGAAGAUUAGAGAGGAAAAGGGAGAGACAUAUGAUCCCAUUUGUUUAUCAGAUAUUGAAUCUGAUGAUGAGUGGAUCACUGAAAAAGAAAACCCAUGCUUGCCAGUAGAUGGGUCAUGGAUGGACAUACAUGAGAGUUUCACUCUUGAUGAAGGAGCUCCAAGCAAGAAAAGAAAGAGAGGUCCAAGAAAUUUGAAUGCCAAAACCAAUAGCAAAGGGAAAUCUA